This is a non-coding RNA of Sturnus vulgaris (Common starling), 143 nucleotides long. The record is from RefSeq and is a predicted model, not a curated record. Lineage: Eukaryota; Metazoa; Chordata; Aves; Passeriformes; Sturnidae.
UGGGCAAAAGAAAGGAGGGAAAAAAAAUGAAGAUAUCGACGUGAGAAUGCAUCAGGAGUUUAGAGUUGAGGGUGGAAUAAUUUUUUUUUAUCAUUAUUAUUAUUAUUUUUAAGCAGGUUUUGGAGCUCGUCGAGAAAUUUUCA